Molecule: ribosomal RNA, 440 nt
Filed under: uncultured bacterium
Lineage: Bacteria
Description: partial 16S ribosomal RNA
Rfam family: Bacterial small subunit ribosomal RNA
Source: RNAcentral
CCUACGGGAGGCAGCAGUAGGGAAUAUUGCUCAAUGGGGGAAACCCUGAAGCAGCAACGCCGCGUGGAGGAUGAAGGUUUUCGGAUUGUAAACUCCUUUUGUUAGAGAAGAUAAUGACGGUAUCUAACGAAUAAGCACCGGCUAACUCCGUGCCAGCAGCCGCGGUAAUACGGAGGGUGCAAGCGUUACUCGGAAUCACUGGGCGUAAAGGGCGCGUAGGCGGGAUAGCAAGUCAGAUGUGAAAUCCUAUGGCUUAACCAUAGAACUGCAUUUGAAACUGUUAGUCUAGAGUAUGGGAGAGGUAGGUGGAAUUCUUGGUGUAGGGGUAAAAUCCGUAGAGAUCAAGAGGAAUACUCAUUGCGAAGGCGACCUGCUAGAACAUAACUGACGCUGAUGCGCGAAAGCGUGGGGAGCAAACAGGAUUAGAUACCCGGGUAGUC